RNAcentral lists this ribosomal RNA (253 nucleotides) under uncultured bacterium. RNAcentral describes it as "partial 16S ribosomal RNA". It matches the Rfam family "Bacterial small subunit ribosomal RNA", at positions 524 to 776 of the family's 1533-position model. The record is from RNAcentral.
UACGUAGGGGGCAAGCGUUGUCCGGAAUUAUUGGGCGUAAAGCGCGUGUAGGCGGCUCGGUAAGUCUGCUGUGAAAGUCCAGGGCUCAACCCUGGAAUGCCGGUGGAUACUGUCGAGCUCGAGUCCGGAAGAGGCGAGUGGAAUUCCUGGUGUAGCGGUGAAAUGCGUAGAUAUCUGGAGGAAUACCGGUGGCGAAGGCGGCAUCCUGGACCAUUACUGACGCUGAGGCGCGAAAGCUAGGGGAGCAAACGGG